Molecule: long non-coding RNA, 848 nt
Organism: Coregonus clupeaformis (lake whitefish)
Lineage: Eukaryota; Metazoa; Chordata; Actinopteri; Salmoniformes; Salmonidae
Exons: 5
Source: RefSeq, a predicted model, not a curated record
GUUGGAAAAUGGAAAGCAAAGUCAACUGGUGUCUACAACCCUCACCACAAUACUGCCUGCUCCAGACCAGAUUAAUGUUGACUCAGUGGACACCACAUCAGCUGCUGUUAGCUGGAGCCAGCCACCAGGAUUAGACCAAACCCAACAUCAUUACCCGAUCUCCUACCACUGUCCAGUACUGCCUGCUCCAGACCAGAUUAAUGUUGACUCAGUAGGCACCACAUCAGCUGCUGUUAGCUGGAGCCAGCCACCAGGAUUAGACCAAACCCAACAUCAUUACCCGAUCUCCUACCACUGUCCAGGUACUUAACCACACAUCACUACCAUAUCUUCACACAGUAUCACUCUCUCUGACCUGCAACCUGCUACUGAAUACUCUGUCACUGUCUGCACUGAGUUGGAAAAUGGAAAGCAAAGUCUACUGGUGUCUACAACCCUCACCACAAUACUGCCUGCUCCAGACCAGAUUAAUGUUGACUCAGUGGACACCACAUCAGCUGCUGUUAGCUGGAGCCAGCCACCAGGAUUAGACCAAACCCAACAUCAUUACCAGAUCUCCUACCACUGUCCAGGGACAGAACCACACAUCACUACCACAUCUUCACACAGUAUCAUUCUCUCUGACCUGCAACCUGCUACUGAAUACUCUGUCACUGUCUGCACUGAGUUGGAAAAUGGAAAGCAAAGUCUACUGGUGUCUACAACCCUCACCACAAUACUGCCUGCUCCAGACCAGAUUAAUGUUGACUCAGUGGACACCACAUCAGCUGCUGUUAGCUGGAGCCAGCCACCAGGAUUAGACCAAACCCAACAUCAUUACCAGAUCUCCUACCACUGUCCAGGGACAG